Molecule: ribosomal RNA, 467 nt
Filed under: uncultured bacterium
Lineage: Bacteria
Description: partial 16S ribosomal RNA
Rfam family: Bacterial small subunit ribosomal RNA
Source: RNAcentral
GACGAACGCUGGCGGCGUGCUUAACACAUGCAAGUCGAACGGAAAGGCCCUGCUUUUGUGGGGUGCUCGAGUGGCGAACGGGAGAGUAACACGUGAGUAACCUGCCCUUGACUUUGGGAUAACUUCAGGAAACUGGGGCUAAUACCGGAUAGGAGCUCCUGCUGCAUGGUGGGGGUUGGAAAGUUUCGGCGGUUGGGGAUGGACUCGCGGCUUAUCAGCUUGUUGGUGGGGUAGUGGCUUACCAAGGCUUUGACGGGUAGCCGGCCUGAGAGGGUGACCGGCCACAUUGGGACUGAGAUACGGCCCAGACUCCUACGGGAGGCAGCAGUGGGGAAUAUUGCACAAUGGGCGGAAGCCGGAUGCAGCAACGCCGCGUGCGGGAUGACGGCCUUCGGGUUGUAAACCGCUUUCGCCUGUGACGAAGCGUGAGUGACGGUAAUGGGUAAAGAAGCACCGGCUAACUACGU